This 440-nucleotide ribosomal RNA is filed under the name uncultured bacterium. RNAcentral's name for it is "partial 16S ribosomal RNA". It matches the Rfam family "Bacterial small subunit ribosomal RNA", at positions 339 to 795 of the family's 1533-position model. The record is from RNAcentral.
CUACGGGGCGCACCAGUGGGGAAUAUUGCACAAUGGAGGAAACUCUGAUGCAGCAACGCCGCGCGCGCGAAGAAGGCCUUCGGGUCGUAAAGCGCUUUUCUGAGGGAUGAGAAAGGACAGUACCUCAGGAAUAAGCCUCGGCUAACUACGUGCCAGCAGCCGCGGUAAAACGUAGGAGGCGAGCGUUAUCCGGAUUUACUGGGCGUAAAGCGUGUGCAGGCGGUCUGGCAAGUUGGAUGUGAAAGCUCCCGGCUCAACUGGGAGAGGUCGUUCAAAACUACCGGACUCGAGUGUAUCAGAGGGAGAUGGAAUUCCCGGUGUAGUGGUGAAAUGCGUAGAUAUCGGGAGGAACACCAGUGGCGAAAGCGAUCUUCUGGGAUACUACUGACGCUCAGACACGAAAGCUAAGGUAGCGAACGGGAUUAGAUACCCCAGUAGUC